Molecule: ribosomal RNA, 253 nt
Filed under: uncultured bacterium
Lineage: Bacteria
Description: partial 16S ribosomal RNA
Rfam family: Bacterial small subunit ribosomal RNA
Source: RNAcentral
UACGUAGGGGGCUAGCGUUGUCCGGAAUCAUUGGGCGUAAAGCGCGUGUAGGCGGUCCGGUAAGUCCGCUGUGAAAGUCGGGGGCUCAACCCUCGAAUGCCGGUGGAUACUGUCGGGCUAGAGUGCGGAAGAGGCGAGUGGAAUUCCUGGUGUAGCGGUGAAAUGCGCAGAUAUCAGGAGGAACACCAAUUGCGAAGGCAGCUCGCUGGGACGUUACUGACGCUGAGACGCGAAAGCGCGGGGAGCAAACAGG